This 253-nucleotide ribosomal RNA is filed under the name uncultured bacterium. RNAcentral describes it as "partial 16S ribosomal RNA". It matches the Rfam family "Bacterial small subunit ribosomal RNA", at positions 524 to 776 of the family's 1533-position model. The record is from RNAcentral.
UACGUAGGGUGCGAGCGUUAAUCGGAAUUACUGGGCGUAAAGCGUGCGCAGGCGGUUUUGUAAGCCAGAUGUGAAAUCCCCGGGCUUAACCUGGGAAUGGCAUUUGGGACUGCAAGGCUGGAGUGCGGCAGAGGAGACUGGAAUUCCCGGUGUAGCAGUGAAAUGCGUAGAUAUCGGGAGGAAUACCGAUGGCGAAGGCAGGUCUCUGGGCUGACACUGACGCUGAUGCGCGAAAGCCAGGGGAGCGAACGGG